GAAACAGUUUUCAAAUUUCUUUCACAAACAACAAUUUUCCUUUUUUUUUAUAUUCUAUCUCUUUUUUUUAAUUUUUUAAUUAAAAGCAAUUACAUGAGCAAUUCUCGAUAGGACUGCCCUAAGAGAGUUUGGUUCACUCACUCAACACCUAAAUACUGUUUUAUCACUUAGACCAUCUUUAUUGAAACUUCUUAACAAUAUUUCUUAGGUUUAAUAUAAUUAAAAAUAAAUCAUAAAUGGCAAUAUUACAAAGAAUAACCUCUUAACUAAGAAAUCUUAAGAAAUGUCGACAUGCUCAAAAAUAGUUGGGUGUAAUUUUUAAUAUAUAAGGGAAAAAAUUGUAUUCAUUUUUUUUUUCUCUCGCGACGGAGAUUACAAAGUUGAAAAUGAUUUUUGUCAAUGAUCUGUUGGAAGUGGAGAUGAUUGAUUCGAUUUUUGAUAACCUUCGUCUGUUCUUGGCCAUUAGCUCAGCCUCUCCACUGAUGGCGGAUUGCAACGGCAACUCUCGGUGAGGAAACCGACAACUUGGUUGGAUGAAAUCGGAGACCACCAAAUCGGAGGCUUUCCUUCACCAAUUCGGAGAUGUUCAAUCACCAAUCUCUUUCCCAUGGGUUGGAUAUUGAUGCACUUAAGUUACUGGAUGUGGGUUCCCAUCAUCUGCUCCAUGGCAACAUUUGAAGGAUCAUUUGCGGAGAGCUUGUGUUGUGUGCUUUGCUGAGGUAACUCGAUAUUUCAAUCUUCUGGAAAGUGUUGGGGUGAGAUUUGUUUCUCCACCUUUUUUUUUUAAUUUCUGUAAAUCUCUCUUGUUAUGUAUGCUUAGUAACAAGUGUCUAAUUUUAGGAUUUAACAAAAAGAGCCAAGAAUCAGUGAUAUGCUCAAAUUAAAUCCUAGAGCUACUCUCUCAAAUUAAGAGAUCAAUGCAGUACUUAGGGGUCGAA
Camelina sativa (false flax) is the source of this 938-nucleotide long non-coding RNA. RefSeq lists it as uncharacterized. Lineage: Eukaryota; Viridiplantae; Streptophyta; Magnoliopsida; Brassicales; Brassicaceae. The record is from RefSeq and is a predicted model, not a curated record.